CGUAACUUAGUGGCGGACGGGUGAGUAACGCGUGGGUAACCUGCCUUACACAGGGGGAUAACACCUGGAAACAGGUGCUAAUACCGCAUAAGCGCACAGGGCCGCAUGGCCCGGUGUGAAAAACUCCGGUGGUGUAAGAUGGACCCGCGUCUGAUUAGCUUGUUGGCGGGGUAGAGGCCCACCAAGGCGACGAUCAGUAGCCGGCCUGAGAGGGUGGACGGCCACAUUGGGACUGAGACACGGCCCAAACUCCUACGGAAGGCAGCAG
Molecule: ribosomal RNA, 268 nt
Filed under: uncultured bacterium
Lineage: Bacteria
Description: partial 16S ribosomal RNA
Rfam family: Bacterial small subunit ribosomal RNA
Source: RNAcentral